CCUACGGGUGGCUGCAGUGGGGAAUAUUGGACAAUGGGGGGAACCCUGAUCCAGCCAUGCCGCGUGUGUGAAGAAGGCCCUCGGGUUGUAAAGCACUUUCAGUGAGGAAGAACGCCUGGUGGUUAAUACCCAUCAGGAAAGACAUCACUCACAGAAGAAGCACCGGCUAACUCCGUGCCAGCAGCCGCGGUAAUACGGAGGGUGCGAGCGUUAAUCGGAAUUACUGGGCGUAAAGCGCGCGUAGGUGGCUUGAUAAGCCGGUUGUGAAAGCCCCGGGCUCAACCUGGGAACGGCAUCCGGAACUGUCAAGCUAGAGUGCAGGAGAGGAAGGUAGAAUUCCCGGUGUAGCGGUGAAAUGCGUAGAGAUCGGGAGGAAUACCAGUGGCGAAGGCGGCCUUCUGGACUGACACUGACACUGAGGUGCAAAAGCGUGGGUAGCAAACAGGAUUAGAUACCCCUGUAGUC
RNAcentral lists this ribosomal RNA (465 nucleotides) under Vreelandella stevensii. RNAcentral's name for it is "partial 16S ribosomal RNA". It matches the Rfam family "Bacterial small subunit ribosomal RNA", at positions 338 to 795 of the family's 1533-position model. The record is from RNAcentral. Lineage: Bacteria; Pseudomonadati; Pseudomonadota; Gammaproteobacteria; Oceanospirillales; Halomonadaceae.